Non-coding RNA from Myotis lucifugus (little brown bat), 75 nucleotides. NCBI's taxonomy places the organism in Eukaryota, Metazoa, Chordata, Mammalia, Chiroptera, Vespertilionidae. The record is from Rfam.
GGCAGUUCUCAGGUGAUGCACCCCAGAAUCGUGCUCCCUCCUCUCUGGUUCCGGGUGUGUCACCUGAGAACCCUG